RNAcentral lists this ribosomal RNA (241 nucleotides) under uncultured Staphylococcus sp. Its description in RNAcentral is "partial 16S ribosomal RNA". It matches the Rfam family "Bacterial small subunit ribosomal RNA", at positions 99 to 334 of the family's 1533-position model. Lineage: Bacteria; Bacillati; Bacillota; Bacilli; Caryophanales; Staphylococcaceae. The record is from RNAcentral.
CGGACGGGUGAGCAACACGUGGAUAACCUACCUAUAAGACUGGGAUAACUUCGGGAAACCGGAGCUAAUACCGGAUAAUAUAUUGAACCGCAUGGUUCAAUAGUGAAAGACGGUUUUGCUGUCACUUAUAGAUGGAUCCGCGCCGCAUUAGCUAGUUGGUAAGGUAACGGCUUACCAAGGCAACGAUGCGUAGCCGACCUGAGAGGGUGAUCGGCCACACUGGAACUGAGACACGGUCCAG